This 497-nucleotide ribosomal RNA is filed under the name uncultured bacterium. RNAcentral describes it as "partial 16S ribosomal RNA". It matches the Rfam family "Bacterial small subunit ribosomal RNA", at positions 28 to 507 of the family's 1533-position model. The record is from RNAcentral.
GAUGAACGCUGGCGGCGUGCCUAAUACAUGCAAGUCGAGCGAACAGAUGAGGAGCUUGCUCCUCUGACGUUAGCGGCGGACGGGUGAGUAACACGUGGAUAACCUACCUAUAAGACUGGGAUAACUUCGGGAAACCGGAGCUAAUACCGGAUAAUAUAUUGAACCACAUGGUUCAAUAGUGAAAGACGGUUUUGCUGUCACUUAUAGAUGUAUCCGCGCCGCAUUAGCUAGUUGGUAAGGUAACGGCUUACCAAGGCAACGAUGCGUAGCCGACCUGAGAGGGUGAUCGGCCACACUGGAACUGAGACACGGUCCAGACUCCUACGGGAGGCAGCAGUAGGGAAUCUUCCGCAAUGGGCGAAAGCCUGACGGAGCAACGCCGCGUGAGUGAUGAAGGUCUUCGGAUCGUAAAACUCUGUUAUUAGGGAAGAACAAAUGUGUAAGUAACUAUGCACGUCUUGACGGUACCUAAUCAGAAAGCCACGGCUAACUACGUG